This 486-nucleotide ribosomal RNA is filed under the name uncultured bacterium. RNAcentral describes it as "partial 16S ribosomal RNA". It matches the Rfam family "Bacterial small subunit ribosomal RNA", at positions 30 to 507 of the family's 1533-position model. The record is from RNAcentral.
AUUGAACGCUGGCGGCAUGCCUUACACAUGCAAGUCGAACGGCAGCACGGGUGCUUGCACCUGGUGGCGAGUGGCGAACGGGUGAGUAAUAUAUCGGAACAUGUCCUGUAGUGGGGGAUAGCCCGGCGAAAGCCGGAUUAAUACCGCAUACGAUCUACGGAUGAAAGCGGGGGCCCUUCGGGCCUCGCGCUAUAGGGUUGGCCGAUGGCUGAUUAGCUAGUUGGUGGGGUAAAGGCCUACCAAGGCGACGAUCAGUAGCUGGUCUGAGAGGACGACCAGCCACACUGGGACUGAGACACGGCCCAGACUCCUACGGGAGGCAGCAGUGGGGAAUUUUGGACAAUGGGCGAAAGCCUGAUCCAGCAAUGCCGCGUGUGUGAAGAAGGCCUUCGGGUUGUAAAGCACUUUUGUCCGGAAAGAAAUCCUUGGCCCUAAUACGGUCGGGGGAUGACGGUACCGGAAGAAUAAGCACCGGCUAACUACGUG